Molecule: ribosomal RNA, 672 nt
Filed under: uncultured bacterium
Lineage: Bacteria
Description: bacterial SSU rRNA
Rfam family: Bacterial small subunit ribosomal RNA
Source: RNAcentral
CAAACUGAUGAGAGUGGCGCACGGGUGCGUAACGUGAGCAACCUACCCCAUAUCAGGGGGAUAGCCUCUCGAAAGAGAGAUUAACACCCGCAACAUCAUUUACCGGCAUCGGUUUUUGAUCAAAUAUUUAUAGGAUAUGGAUGGGCUCGCGACAUUAGCUAGUUGGAGAGGUAACGGCUCACCAAGGCUACGAUGUCUAGGGGCUCUGAGGAGAAUCCCCCACACUGGUACUGAGACACGGACCAGACUCCUACGGGAGGCAGCAGAGGAAUAUUGGUCAAUGGAGGCAACUCUGAACCAGCCAUGCCGCGUGCAGGAUGACUGCUAUGGGUUGUAAACUGCUUUUGUCAGGGAAUAAACCUUUCUACGUGUAGAAAGCUGAGUACCUGAAGAAUAAGGAUCGGCUAACUCCGUGCCAGCAGCCGCGGUAAUACGGAGGACAAGCGUUAUCCGGAUUUAUUGGGUUUAAAGGGUGCGUAGGCGGUCCUAUAAGUCAGUUGAAAGACGGCAGCUUAACUGUCGCAGUGCCUUUGAUACUGUAGGACUUGAAUCUAUUAAGUGGGCGGAAUAAGACAAGUAGCGGUGAAAUGCAUAGAUAUGUCUUAGAACUCCGAGCGAAGGCAGCUCACUAAGUUAGUAUUGACGCUGAUGCACGAAAGCGUGGGGAUCAAA